RNAcentral lists this ribosomal RNA (497 nucleotides) under uncultured bacterium. RNAcentral describes it as "partial 16S ribosomal RNA". It matches the Rfam family "Bacterial small subunit ribosomal RNA", at positions 28 to 507 of the family's 1533-position model. The record is from RNAcentral.
GAUGAACGCUGGCGGCGUGCCUAAUACAUGCAAGUCGAGCGAACAGACGAGGAGCUUGCUCCUCUGACGUUAGCGGCGGACGGGUGAGUAACACGUGGAUAACCUACCUAUAAGACGGGGAUAACUUCGGGAAACCGGAGCUACUACCGGAUAAUAUAUUGAACCGCAUGGUUCAAUAGUGAAUGACGGUUUUGCUGUCACUUAUAGAUGGAUCCGCGCCGCAUUAGCUAGUUGGUAAGGUAACGGCUUACCAAGGCGACGAUGCGUAGCCGACCUGAGAGGGUGAUCGGCCACACUGGAACUGAGACACGGUCCAGACUCCUACGGGAGGCAGCAGUAGGGAAUCUUCCGCAAUGGGCGAAAGCCUGACGGAGCAACGCCGCGUGAGUGAUGAAGGUCUUCGGAUCGUAAAACUCUGUUAUUAGGGAAGAACAAAUGUGUAAGUAACUAUGCACGUCUUGACGGUACCUAAUCAGAAAGCCACGGCUAACUACGUG